RNAcentral lists this ribosomal RNA (499 nucleotides) under uncultured bacterium. RNAcentral's name for it is "partial 16S ribosomal RNA". It matches the Rfam family "Bacterial small subunit ribosomal RNA", at positions 28 to 507 of the family's 1533-position model. The record is from RNAcentral.
GAUGAACGCUGGCGGCGUGCCUAAUACAUGCAAGUCGAGCGAACAGACGAGAGUGCUUGCACUCUCUGACGUUAGCGGCGGACGGGUGAGUAACACGUGGGUAACCUACCUAUAAGACUGGGAUAACUUCGGGAAACCGGAGCUAAUACCGGAUAAUAUUUAGCUUCGCAUGAAGCAAUAGUGAAAGACGGUUCUGCUGUCACUUAUAGAUGGACCCGCGGUGUAUUAGCUAGUUGGUGAGGUAACGGCUCACCAAGGCAACGAUACAUAGCCGACCUGAGAGGGUGAUCGGCCACACUGGGACUGAGACACGGCCCAGACUCCUACGGGAGGCAGCAGUAGGGAAUCUGCCGCAAUGGACGAAAGUCUGACGGAGCAAUGCCGCGUGAGUGAAGAAGGUUUUCGGAUCGUAAAACUCUGUUGUAAGGGAAGAACAAGUACGUUAGUAACUGAACGUACCUUGACGGUACCUGACCAGAAAGCCACGGCUAACUACGUG